GCCUCAGUGGUGCAAAGGGUUAACAUGCUCAGCUAUUAACCAAAAGGUUGGAGGUUCGAUUCCUCCCAGAGGCA
RNAcentral lists this transfer RNA (74 nucleotides) under Loxodonta africana (African savanna elephant). It matches the Rfam family "tRNA". Rfam says of the family: Transfer RNA (tRNA) molecules are approximately 80 nucleotides in length. Their secondary structure includes four short double-helical elements and three loops (D, anti-codon, and T loops). The record is from Rfam by way of RNAcentral. Lineage: Eukaryota; Metazoa; Chordata; Mammalia; Proboscidea; Elephantidae.